AUUGAACGCUGGCGGCAUGCUUUACACAUGCAAGUCGAACGGCAGCACGGGGGCAACCCUGGUGGCGAGUGGCGAACGGGUGAGUAAUAUAUCGGAACGUACCCGGAAAUGGGGGAUAACGUAGCGAAAGUUACGCUAAUACCGCAUAUGCCCUAAGGGGGAAAGCGGGGGAUUCGCAAGAACCUCGCGUUUUCGGAGCGGCCGAUAUCGGAUUAGCUAGUAGGUGAGGUAAAGGCUCACCUAGGCGACGAUCCGUAGCUGGUCUGAGAGGACGACCAGCCACACUGGAACUGAGACACGGUCCAGACUCCUACGGGAGGCAGCAGUGGGGAAUUUUGGGACAAUGGGCGCAAGCCUGAUCCAGCCAUGCCGCGUGAGUGAAGAAGGCCUCGG
RNAcentral lists this ribosomal RNA (393 nucleotides) under uncultured bacterium. RNAcentral describes it as "bacterial SSU rRNA". It matches the Rfam family "Bacterial small subunit ribosomal RNA", at positions 29 to 420 of the family's 1533-position model. The record is from RNAcentral.